RNAcentral lists this ribosomal RNA (404 nucleotides) under Pseudomonas sp. RNAcentral describes it as "partial 16S ribosomal RNA". It matches the Rfam family "Bacterial small subunit ribosomal RNA", at positions 355 to 776 of the family's 1533-position model. Lineage: Bacteria; Pseudomonadati; Pseudomonadota; Gammaproteobacteria; Pseudomonadales; Pseudomonadaceae. RNAcentral also lists the same sequence under 2 other names. The record is from RNAcentral.
UGGGGAAUAUUGGACAAUGGGCGCAAGCCUGAUCCAGCCAUGCCGCGUGAGUGAUGAAGGCCCUAGGGUUGUAAAGCUCUUUCACCGGUGAAGAUAAUGACGGUAACCGGAGAAGAAGCCCCGGCUAACUUCGUGCCAGCAGCCGCGGUAAUACGAAGGGGGCUAGCGUUGUUCGGAUUUACUGGGCGUAAAGCGCACGUAGGCGGACUUUUAAGUCAGGGGUGAAAUCCCGGGGCUCAACCCCGGAACUGCCUUUGAUACUGGAAGUCUUGAGUAUGGUAGUGGUGAGUGGAAUUCCGAGUGUAGAGGUGAAAUUCGUAGAUAUUCGGAGGAACACCAGUGGCGAAGGCGGCUCACUGGACCAUUACUGACGCUGAGGUGCGAAAGCGUGGGGAGCAAACAGG